UCCAGGGAAAAAUCCAUACGUACUAGAAUGAAAUGUGCAGACUUUUUCAGACGAUCAACAAUUACCCAAAUGACAUCUUUCUUUUUUGGAGAUAAGGGUAACCUGAUACAAAGUCCAUAGUAACUCUUUCCCAUUUCCAUUCCGGUAUUAUCACUGGCUAUAAGAGUCCUAAAGGUACCUGAUGUUUAACUUUAACUUGCU
This 201-nucleotide long non-coding RNA is filed under the name Gossypium barbadense (sea-island cotton). RNAcentral's name for it is "long non-coding RNA (GBAR_LNC013406)". Lineage: Eukaryota; Viridiplantae; Streptophyta; Magnoliopsida; Malvales; Malvaceae. The record is from RNAcentral.